This 451-nucleotide ribosomal RNA is filed under the name uncultured bacterium. Its description in RNAcentral is "bacterial SSU rRNA". It matches the Rfam family "Bacterial small subunit ribosomal RNA", at positions 340 to 786 of the family's 1533-position model. The record is from RNAcentral.
UACGGGAGGCAGCAGUGGGGAAUAUUGCACAAUGGGCGCAAGCCUGAUGCAGCCAUGCCGCGUGUAUGAAGAAGGCCUUCGGGUUGUAAAGUACUUUCAGUCGUGAGGAAGGUGUUAAGGUUAAUAACCUUAGCAAUUGACGUUAGCGACAGAAGAAGCACCGGCUAACUCCGUGCCAGCAGCCGCGGUAAUACGGAGGGUGCGAGCGUUAAUCGGAAUUACUGGGCGUAAAGGGCACGCAGGCGGUUAAUUAAGUUGGAUGUGAAAUCCCCGGGCUUAACCUGGGAAUGGCAUUCAAGACUGGUUAGCUAGAGUCUUGUAGAGGGGGUAGAAUUCCAUGUGUAGCGGUGAAAUGCGUAGAGAUGUGGAGGAAUACCGGUGGCGAAGGCGGCCCCUGGCAAAGACUGACGCUCAUGUGCGAAGCGUGGGGAGCAAACAGGGAUUAGAUACC